GACAGAGGGUGCAAACGUUGUUCGGAAUUACUGGGCGUAAAGCGCGUGUAGGCGGCGUAGCAAGUCGGGCGUGAAAGCCCACGGCUCAACCGUGGAAGAGCACUCGAAACUGCUGCGCUAGAGUUCUGGAGAGGAAGGCGGAAUGCUUGGUGUAGAGGUGAAAUUCGUAGAUAUCGAGAGGAACACCGGUGGCGAAGGCGGCCUUCUGGACAGUGACUGACGCUGAGACGCGAAAGCGUGGGGAGCAAACAGG
RNAcentral lists this ribosomal RNA (253 nucleotides) under uncultured bacterium. Its description in RNAcentral is "partial 16S ribosomal RNA". It matches the Rfam family "Bacterial small subunit ribosomal RNA", at positions 524 to 776 of the family's 1533-position model. The record is from RNAcentral.